UAAAGGAAGCGAUUCCGGCUACGGAUGGUCAUGCGUCGCAUUAGCUAGUUGGCGGGGUAACGGCCCACCAAGGCGACGAUGCGUAGGGGUUCUGAGAGGAAGGUCCCCCACACUGGUACUGAGACACGGACCAGACUCCUACGGGAGGCAGCAGUGAGGAAUAUUGGUCAAUGGCCGCAGGGCUGAACCAGCCAAGUCGCGUGAGGGAUGACGGUCCUAUGGAUUGUAAACCUCUUUUGUCAGGGAGCAAAGGGCGCCACGUGUGGCGCUUUGCGAGUACCUGAAGAAAAAGCAUCGGCUAACUCCGUGCCAGCAGCCGCGGUAAUACGGAGGAUGCGAGCGUUAUCCGGAUUUAUUGGGUUUAAAGGGUGCGCAGGCGGAAUGUCAAGUCAGCGGUAAAAUUUCGGGGCUCAACCCCGUCGUGCCGUUGAAACUGGCGUUCUUGAAUGAGCGAGAAGUAUGCGGAAUGCGUGGUGUAGCGGUGAAAUGCAUAGAUAUCACGCAGAACUCCGAUUGCGAAGGCAGCAUACCGGCGCUCAACUGACGCUCAUGCACGAAAGCGUGGGUAUCGAACAGGAUUAGAUACCCUGGUAGUCCACGCAGUAAACGAUGAAUACUAACUGUCCGGGCAGAAUGAUGCCUGG
Molecule: ribosomal RNA, 644 nt
Filed under: uncultured bacterium
Lineage: Bacteria
Description: bacterial SSU rRNA
Rfam family: Bacterial small subunit ribosomal RNA
Source: RNAcentral